Molecule: ribosomal RNA, 55 nt
Filed under: uncultured soil eukaryote
Lineage: Eukaryota
Description: partial 5.8S ribosomal RNA
Rfam family: 5.8S ribosomal RNA
About the family: 5.8S ribosomal RNA (5.8S rRNA) is a component of the large subunit of the eukaryotic ribosome. It is transcribed by RNA polymerase I as part of the 45S precursor that also contains 18S and 28S rRNA. Functionally, it is thought that 5.8S rRNA may be involved in ribosome translocation.
Source: RNAcentral
CGAACGCGACUUGCGCUCUCUGGUAUUCCGGAGAGCAUGCCUGUCUGAGUGUCAU